RNAcentral lists this ribosomal RNA (478 nucleotides) under uncultured bacterium. RNAcentral's name for it is "partial 16S ribosomal RNA". It matches the Rfam family "Bacterial small subunit ribosomal RNA", at positions 28 to 507 of the family's 1533-position model. The record is from RNAcentral.
GAUGAACGCUGGCGGCGUGCUUAACACAUGCAAGUCGAACGAGAAGUGGAGACGGACACCUUCGGGCGGAAGACUUUAUUUCGAGUGGCGGACGGGUGAGUAACGCGUGGGUAACCUGCCUCAUACAGGGGGAUAACAGUUGGAAACGACUGUUAAUACCGCAUAAGACCACAGCACCGCAUGGUGCGGGGGUAAAAACUCCGGUGGUAUGAGAUGGACCCGCGUUCGAUUAGCCAGUUGGCGAGGUAACGGCCCACCAAAGCGACGAUCGAUAGCCGAUCUGAGAGGAUGACCGGCCACAUUGGGACUGAGACACGGCCCAAACUCCUACGGGAGGCAGCAGUGGGGAAUAUUGCACAAUGGGGGAAACCCUGAUGCAGCGACGCCGCGUGAGUGAAGAAGUAUUUCGGUAUGUAAAGCUCUAUCAGCAGGGAAGAAAAUGACGGUACCUGAGUAAGAAGCCCCGGCUAACUACGUG